RNAcentral lists this ribosomal RNA (492 nucleotides) under uncultured bacterium. RNAcentral's name for it is "partial 16S ribosomal RNA". It matches the Rfam family "Bacterial small subunit ribosomal RNA", at positions 29 to 507 of the family's 1533-position model. The record is from RNAcentral.
AGUGAACGCUGGCGGUAGGCCUAACACAUGCAAGUCGAACGGCAGCACAGUAAGAGCUUGCUCUUACGGGUGGCGAGUGGCGGACGGGUGAGGAAUACAUCGGAAUCUACUUUUUCGUGGGGGAUAACGUAGGGAAACUUACGCUAAUACCGCAUACGACCUACGGGUGAAAGCAGGGGAUCUUCGGACCUUGCGCGAUUGAAUGAGCCGAUGUCGGAUUAGCUAGUUGGCGGGGUAACGGCCCACCAAGGCGACGAUCCGUAGCUGGUCUGAGAGGAUGACCAGCCACACUGGAACUGAGACACGGUCCAGACUCCUACGGGAGGCAGCAGUGGGGAAUAUUGGACAAUGGGCGCAAGCCUGAUCCAGCCAUACCGCGUGGGUGAAGAAGGCCUUCGGGUUGUAAAGCCCUUUUGUUGGGAAAGAAAAGCAGCAGGUUAAUACCCCGCUGUUCUGACGGUACCCAAAGAAUAAGCACCGGCUAACUUCGUG